AAGGCAUCAUGCGUUGGAGAUCUUUCAGAUAGGUUCUCUUUGUUGCCUCUCAUAACAAGGUCACUUUUUUAUGGCACCUCAGCAGACAAGAAAAGAGAAAGGAAGCGAGACUCUGAGAGAGAUAAGCAGAUGUAAGAAGACCAUGUGUGGCUUCAGGGAAGCCUUUAGGGAUCAGAAAUGGAAAGGAAACCACUCAACAAAAGGGUAAUCUCAGGACGCUUGGAGGAGCCCACACAGGAGAGAAGAGAAAGAGAGGACGGAAGGACAGAAGAGUGUUUUGCAGUGCUGCCGGCAAUGACUCAUAGCUCCAUCAGGAUGAUUCCAGCACAGCAGUGUGUCACUGCAAGACAAUCUGUGCAGCUGGAAAUCAGCCUCCAGUGUUCAGAACUUGACACACUUCAUUCACCCUGUGUUCUAAUCAGCGCCGUGACGUCUGCAGCAAAAGUUUCCAAUGUUAAGUAAUUCGUCUGUCUG
Molecule: long non-coding RNA, 474 nt
Organism: Cyprinus carpio carpio
Lineage: Eukaryota; Metazoa; Chordata; Actinopteri; Cypriniformes; Cyprinidae
Source: Ensembl